GAAAAGAACUUCUUACUAUUACCCAAAAAUGCAGUGAGUACCUAUCCACAGUGAUUUACAAAUGCUUGUUGAAUUAAAGUAUCUAGUAGCAAAGAAGUAGCAGAGGAGAUAGUUUCUAGGCAUGGAUUCUUCCUUCAAUCUGCUGUUGGGCAAGUCCAUUAACUUCUUUUUUAAAUUUUAUUUUAAUUAGACCUUUACCUUCUGUCUCAGAAUGGAUACUAAGGAUCGGUCCCAAGGCAGAAGAGCAGUGAAGGCUUGAACCCAGGACAUUCCAUCUCCAGGCUUGUGUUUCUAUCUAGUGAACCACCUAGCUGCCCCUGUCAAUUAGCUUCCCUAGAAUUCACUUAAGAACUUUAAUCAACUCCAUGACCAUGACUCCAAAGGACCAAUGAUGAAGGAUGCUUUCCACCUUCUGACAAAGUGAUGGAUUUAGGAUGCAGAAUACGACACACAGUUCUGGACAUGGCCAAUAUGAGAAUUUAUUUUGCUUGACUAUAUAUGUUACAAAGGUUUUUUUUUUUUUUAAUGUUUUGUUUUCCUGAGGUGAGAGGAAAAAAAAUUGUUCAUCAGAAAAAGAUACAAAAUUUGAUUUCAAAACUUCUCUAGGGGCAGCUAGGUGGCUCAGUAGAUAGAGAGCCAAGCCUGGAGACUAGAGGUUCUACCUUCAAAUCUGGCCUCAGACACUUCCCAGCAGUGAUCCUGGGUAAAUCACUUAAUCCCAACUGCCUAGCCCUUACUGAUAGAAUUCUAAGACAGAAGGUAAGGGUUUUUAAAAAACAAAAAACCUCUAGGGCUCAGUUUCUCUUUCUACAACCGACAGGAAUUUACUGAACACACGGUGGAUAUUUCUGCAUUUCUCCUGGCAUUGGUGGAAGCCCCACAAUAGUCAUAAGUCUCCAGUGUACACAAAGGGAGAAGGGAGUCUGCAUUUCAGACUCUUCAGCAGUCCAAGCAAAAGGGCAAGGCUGGCUCUCCCGAUGGUCCUCCGGUUCCCCUUGCGCAGAAGUGCCAGCUUUACCCUGGAGUGUAGAACCUUGUUUGAGACACCUGAUCCCAGCAUCCUUACCAUGGAAGCCAACGUGUUGGUGAUGGGAGCAGAAAACGUUGGGAAGUCAGGUGAGAACCCCCAUUCUACACAAGCCUAGAU
This 1147-nucleotide long non-coding RNA is filed under the name Monodelphis domestica (gray short-tailed opossum). Its description in RNAcentral is "lncRNA (ENSMODG00000048276.1)". Lineage: Eukaryota; Metazoa; Chordata; Mammalia; Didelphimorphia; Didelphidae. The record is from RNAcentral.